Molecule: ribosomal RNA, 268 nt
Filed under: uncultured bacterium
Lineage: Bacteria
Description: partial 16S ribosomal RNA
Rfam family: Bacterial small subunit ribosomal RNA
Source: RNAcentral
GUUACAAUGGCCGGUACAGCGGGAAGCCAGGCGGCGACGCCGAGCGGAACCCGAAAACCGGUCUCAGUUCGGAUCGGAGUCUGCAACCCGACUCCGUGAAGCUGGAUUCGCUAGUAAUCGCGCAUCAGCCAUGGCGCGGUGAAUACGUUCCCGGGCCUUGUACACACCGCCCGUCAAGCCAUGGGAGCCGGGGGUGCUUGAAGUGCGUCGCCGCGAGGCGCGCCCUAGAGCAAAACCGGUGACUGGGGCUAAGUCGUAACAAGGUAUC